This 385-nucleotide unclassified non-coding RNA is filed under the name Artemisia melanolepis. RNAcentral's name for it is "partial external transcribed spacer". Lineage: Eukaryota; Viridiplantae; Streptophyta; Magnoliopsida; Asterales; Asteraceae. The record is from RNAcentral.
GAGUGGUGUUUGGUUUGUUACGUGUGGUUGGCUGCGGCGUUUGCAGCAACUUCCAUGCUUUCAGACCUCUUCAGUUGUGCGGCAAGGCUUGUAUCGCCUUGAGCGUAAUGUGGGUUUUCUGUGCUGGCUACCUAAUCAAUGGUAUCGGUUGGAUUGAUCAAAGUUUGAUUUCGUCUUCCGUCGCAUUCGUGGCGUGAGGCGAACCUCGACGCGGUCUCUUUGAUCCACCUCGUUGAAGCACGUGCUUCGACGUUGUGGCACAUUGAGCAUUGCUUGGUCUCUUGUAUACGGAACAUAUAGUGGGCAUGGAUCUAACGAUCCUUGUUUGCCCUCAUAUUAGCGUAACGCUUCUCUAGCACGACUUGCGCCAUGUUUUAGCUCGUAC